CACGUAGGGGGCAAGCGUUGUCCGGAUUUAUUGGGCGUAAAGAGCUCGUAGGUGGUUCGGUAAGUCAGGUGUGAAACCUCCAGGCUCAACCUGGAGACGCCACUUGAUACUGCUGUGACUGGAGUCCGGUAGGGGAGCGUGGAAUUCCUGGUGUAGCAGUGAAAUGCGCAGAUAUCAGGAGGAACACCAGCGGCGAAGGCGGCGCUCUGGGCCGGUACUGACACUGAGGAGCGAAAGCGUGGGUAGCAAACAGG
RNAcentral lists this ribosomal RNA (254 nucleotides) under uncultured bacterium. RNAcentral describes it as "partial 16S ribosomal RNA". It matches the Rfam family "Bacterial small subunit ribosomal RNA", at positions 524 to 776 of the family's 1533-position model. The record is from RNAcentral.